GCCCAGGUAGCUCAGCUCGGUAGAGCGCCCGGCUGUGGACCGGGUGAUCCCGGGUUCAAUUCCCGGUCUGGGCC
Molecule: transfer RNA, 74 nt
Filed under: Sulfolobales archaeon HS-7
Lineage: Archaea; Thermoproteati; Thermoproteota; Thermoprotei; Sulfolobales
Rfam family: tRNA
About the family: Transfer RNA (tRNA) molecules are approximately 80 nucleotides in length. Their secondary structure includes four short double-helical elements and three loops (D, anti-codon, and T loops). Further hydrogen bonds mediate the characteristic L-shaped molecular structure. tRNAs have two regions of fundamental functional importance: the anti-codon, which is responsible for specific mRNA codon recognition, and the 3' end, to which the tRNAs corresponding amino acid is attached (by aminoacyl-tRNA synthetases). tRNAs cope with the degeneracy of the genetic code in two manners: having more than one tRNA (with a specific anti-codon) for a particular amino acid; and 'wobble' base-pairing, i.e. permitting non-standard base-pairing at the 3rd anti-codon position.
Source: Rfam by way of RNAcentral